AACUCCGAGUAGCUGUAAACUUGCAUUAAAAAAGGAGUAAACACAAGUGACACAAUAAAAUGUACUUAAUACAUGAACUUGUGAACAUUGUGUACAUGAGAAGUUAAUAGAAAUAGUGGUCAAUUACAUCAUAUAAUUUGGUUCUAUACUCUUUUGUGUAUAUAUCCUGAAUGCUACCCCUUUGUGAUCAACUCUUUGUCCUUCGAAUCGAAUGGCACAGCUACUGCCCCUUGUGGAAAAAGAAAGGACUCUGUAAUACCCAUAAAUGUAAAAGGAAAACAUCAUGUGAUGCAUCUCAACCUGCGCAAAACAAUGUAAAAACCAUACAUGCUAUCUACAUACCCUCAUUGUCUAGCAAAGCAUAAGUAGCUGAGGGACCCUAUACAAAAGAAUUGACAAUUAGCAAGAAAGAAGCAUGCCAUCAUCUGUCUAAACAACCAUAAAACAAUAAGUGGCAAAAGCCCCAUCAGAAUUAGCAUUUGCCAUCCAGUUUAUGAGCUAAAGUUGUGCAUUCACCAAUCGAUAAAACAUAUUAAGAUGCGGUAAUGAAAAUAAAAUUGUAUCGCUUCACAUACAGUAAGUGAAAAAGAAAUGAGUAAGGGGACCAAAUUUAGUUGCCUGAUCAGAUGUAGCAGAGAUAGAACCUAGUUUUUUUUUACCUUGCCUACUUCUGGCCAAUACCCCCACAGAUGCCCCUCUUCCCGUGCAGGAAAUGCCCCUGACCCUCCUCCGAGCAUUAAGGCCUAGAAUGACAACAACAUCCCACAGAAGGACCCGCAAAAGGCAACGAAAGUGAGCCAAGUAGCUUGGCCAGAUACCCGCACUAACCCAACCAAAUAAAUGUAGCCAACGGAUCAAGGCAGAACGCAUGACAGUGAGUAUCACUACACCAUGACCAAAGUUUAGGGGCAAUUAACUGCCGGGAAUGAUCCAGUAUUGGAGGCAAUUAACUGCCGGGAAUGCUCUAUUUGCCGGGCAAGACUAUGUCAGUCAAGUUAACUGCCGGGAACGGUAGUUAUAGACAGGCAGAAUAACUGCCGGCCUCUUCGAGGUCAGCCCAAUUGCCACGAACUCUAGUUGAGGGCAAAUGGACUGCUGGUAACCAAGUUGGCGGGGACGGCCCAAGAAAACGCGCGCAGUCGCGGGAGAGCGAAAAAUUAGAAGGCACUGGAAGCCCACGCGGCCUUAUCUUUUCCCUUAUCCACAUAUCUCCUCCGCCACUCUCCCUCCCUCCUCGUAAGCCGCCGCACUGCAUCUCGCCUUCGAUGCCGGCAACCCUAGCGCCGCCGCCGACUCGCCCGCGUCAAGCGUCCUUGCCGCCCGCCCAGCCUAUCGCCGCCGGCGGCUCACCCGCAUCCUUGCCACCCCGCUUCCAUCCGCUUCAUCACCCUGCCGUCGCCCUCCCCAUGCACGCCUCUACCCAGCGCCGCCGCCCCCAAAUCUUGUACUCGUAGAGCCGGACGCCACCAAAUCUCGUACUCGCGCUGCCCCACCCACACCUCCGAGACACGCCGCCGCCAAUCCCCAUCCACACUGCACCGGCAUCCCUCACCCUGAGCCGCCGCCUCCCAUCCCCAUCUCCUUCCACGCCGCACCAGCAUCCCCAGUCCAGCGCCGCCACCCCAUUCCCCAAUCCCUAUCCCCGCCCCUGCUUCGCCUCACAGUGCAGCCCGGUGUGACAGCUCCUCUGUUCGUUCGUGCUACCAUCUGGUGCAACUGCCACUGCUGUUCGUCUGUUGCUGCUGCUCCUCUGUUCUGCCCUCUGCCACGGCUUCAACUUGUGUUCGUCAACUGAAGCAGCAGCAGCAGCAACAGCUAGCCUCAGUCGCACAUAGAGGCUGCAACUGAGCUCUUUUCUCUGUUUGUGGUCGGUCUUUACAGGUAUGCAUUUAAAGCCAUGUUUUGUAAGAUCAUUCUCUAUUGCGCUCUAUCAAAUUAUCUAGCAAAUUGUCACAUUAGCCUUCAGAUCUAGCAGCCUGGCAUUGAUAUGCUCCAAAUAACAGGUUUCUGACUAACUAGUAAGAGAAGAUCUAAACCUUCUGAUCUGUUUAUGCAACAACAAUAUGCAAAGAGAAUUUGCAGCAGAUCAUGCUUGCACAUAUAGAAAAGAAUAAGCAAAUGUUGGCAACAGAAAUAUACAACUCACAAAACCUCUAUUGUGAUCUCAUAAAUACUUAGUUAUGUAAAUUUGACAACAAGGAGUAUAGUGCAGAUGAAGUAAUAUACGACCUACAUAUGCCAGUAUGCAUGUCAGGAUUAAAGGAAUAAAACUGAAAAUUAAACUUGUUACCAACAUGUAUGCCAUAUUCUGGUUAACCAAGUACUAGGCCUUCCUGAAGGUAGUGUUAAGUAGGAUGAGCUGCAUGAUGAACACACAGAUAGAAUAGGCUAACAAAAAAUAGAUAUUGGAUAGAUAAUUGCAGGAUAAUUGUUGAUUAUUCUUCACCCAUGCUAAUUAUGUUUGGAUGGUUUGCAGGUUAACCAGCCUAAACUGAUCUUGAAAGACAAGUUUUGAGAUCAAAGUUGGCAAGGGAAGAAGUAUCAAGCUGCAACCAUCAAUAACCGAAGAAGUGCCCUUGCAGCCUUUUGUGAGUCUUAUCAUAACUGAGAAUUUGAUUUUUAUAUAUCACUGUGUGGUUUCUUUUGACUAUAUUUUGAAUAUCUCGUGAUUUGUUUCUAUCGUUACAUGGUAAUUGUUUGACUAUAUUUCGAAUACUUGGAAGGUUGCUUUGGUUUGUAAUUAUGAUUUCAAUGCCUUGGUUCUGUAAAAAAAAUACUGAUUUGUGUUGGCUUGCGAUAUUUAGGCAAGGGUCGAAAUUUAGUACAAGCAAACCGUAAUGGACAAGAGUUUCAAAAUGAUGAGGUUGAAGAUGAGGACAUAUUUGAGGUACUUGAUGAGAUACCAGAAAUGCUCCAAGAUAUAGGGCAUGAAUUCGGUUAAGUUGGGGACGAUGGUGGGAAUGAUGGUGACCUAAGGGAAGAUGGAAGUGAUCUAAAUAUAGAGGCUUUUCACCAAUUAUUAGAUGAUGCAGAUGCCAAACUUUAUCCCGGGUGCACAAGCUUCUCAAAGCUACACUUUGUAGUUAGAUUAAUCCACACCAAAUUUCUUGGGGUUGGAGUGAUAAGAGUUUUAACAUAUUGCUAGAGCUGCUUAAUAAGGCCUUUCCAGGGGACUCGCCGACCAUGGUUCUCAAUGUUCUGAAGUUGUAGCUAACAUGGUGAUGAAAAAUGAUGCUAUUUUGCAAUGCCCUUAUGGGAAUGUGAGGACCAUGGCCAAUGCUCUCGGGCGAUCUAUUGCAUGACCUUGUAGAUAUUUUAAACUUCUUUCUAAUCAUGUCUAUUUCAGCAAUUGUAGGUUUCUCAAAUUGCUUCCUGUUGAUAAUCCUAUGUUUGCAGAUUGGGGUGUUCGUAAAGUUAUGCAGAAGCAACCAUGGCAGCCCAUAGCAGUUCCCACAGCUAGAAGGUAUUGUAUCUUCUUCGAAUUUUGGAAUAUUAUACUAAAGAAAAGAUAUGUUUCUCCUUUCACAUACUGAUGACUUAUUAUUUUUCUGAAUGAAGCAUGUGCUUGAAAGUAGCAACCUACAAGUUUCUUAUUUCCUCCUUAGCAACUAGUACUUUUUUUGGUUUUCCCAGUAGAUAAAAAAUGUGCCUACUUUCAAACAUAUGCUUAAGUCCUUCUAUUCUGAAUCACAACCAGCAACUCUGUUUCUUGUUUCUUAAAUAAUUCUGCAGCUACUAUUUAAACUUUCCACAGACAUUUAUGUGCCUGCAAACUCUUUUCCUGAAACCAAGUGCAAACUUAAUCAGUGGGUUGUUCACUUGGUAUACAUUCUCAUAACUAUUGAUGACUAUCCCAAAUUAUUAGGGCCCCAAUUUUGCACGUAAUAGUAAUCCUGACUCCUGACUAGUAUUACUAGUGACUAUCCUAAUGGCUACUCAAUAAACUUGACCAGUUACUAGCUUGGGGAUCACCCUCAAGGCCUCAACCAACCAUCUGGUUAUUUACCCUAAAACCCAUCUGUUUAUUUAGUCGCCGUUUUUUCUGUAAUAUAGUUUCCUUUUCUGCAAUUUCUUCUAGCACUAGAAUGUAUUACUUUUGAGUUACAGUGAAAAUCACUUUUUGAUAGAAUGUAGUUAUUCAAACAAUCGCACUGCCAACGUGAUAUAUAUUAUAAAGUUUGCUUUCUAAUUUUGAAUGACAUCGAGGGCCUAAGUUCUGAUUUUGCACAUGGCCCCUGUUUUUGAAUGUUUUGUUUACUUCACAGCAAUCAAGAGAAAUUAUACUACACCAAAAGAUGACAAUUGGUAUAUAUUUAUAGUGAUAGGUUACAUUGAUUUUCCUGAUGAUUCAUACAUAGUGCACAAUCUGUUCAUAUGAGUACAUCCACACAUUCUUUCUAUGCCUUGUGCAAUGCAAAGUACAGGGUAACACACAUGUGUCUUUUCGUUUGGAUGAGUUGAUUUUCUUUUUUAACCCAUGCAACUUCUAUGUUUGGAAGAUGUGUUCUUCCGAGCUGAUCUAUUUGGCCAUUACCUUUUUCUUUACAGGUCACCAGCAUAAUGCCUUUGCAUUCACAAGUUUCAAGAGGUGUGUUUGGUGAGGCUAAAAGGAUCUUCUGCUGGGAUAUGUUUCUACCUAAAACCUAUUUUGCACUUUUGUCUAUGAUGUAAUACUUUGACUUAUGAACCUACAACUGUAUGCAUUUAGACCUGAUGGAUGGUUGUGCUUUUGGCUGUCCUGGACUUGUGAACCUAUAUAUGUAUGGAUUAUGUAUGGAUGGAGACUUGUGAAUCUAUGGAUGAUGGAUUGCUCAUAAGUAUAUGCAUGCAUGUGUGUUUUAUAUAUACAUGGCACAAAAUGGACUUUAGAUAAUAGCUGUUGAAAUACAUGUAUGGGAGACUUGUGUGGCUGCAGCGAACUCAAAUCCAGGCAGAAGAGCUGCCGGGAAAUCUUCUAACUGCCCUGAAUUGUCAGCCUGCCGGGGAAGAGCAGUAUGCCGGUAAUAAUUCUAAUUGCCGGCAAUGGUAUGAAUAUGAAGGGCAGAACAUCUGCCGGGGUUCACACUAACUGCCGGGAAUUACUUUCCCCGACGGGACUUUCAAGGGCGGUUUGUAAUUGCCGGCAAAAAACUUUCCCGGCAGUUUGACUGCCUCCAAUGGCUACUUUUCCCGGCAGAUGUUCUGACCCCUAUUCUUUGGUCAUGGUGUAGUGUAUAUUUUAUUGAUAAGCCAGAUUGAACACAGUUGAGAAACAAUCUUAAAAGAUCACAUCGAGAAAAUAAACGGAGGUGGUUCAAUAUUGCCUUCUAUCUAAACUCUCUAAACAGAGGAACACCCUAGCUUUAUGUGAAAACUUAAAAGAAGGCACAUAAUUUAAGGUUUUGACACUACAUAAACUAUAGUAAUCAUCUGCUGCUUAGGACACACAUCAAUAUAUGAUGCAUAUCUAUUUCACGAAAGCCUAAAGGUACAUCCACGAUUAAGAAUAUCUGAAACUUUGAUGUGCAUACCAAGAAUAAACGAUGGCCGAUACUCCUAUAAUGAAAAAUAUUGUACAAAUAAUUAAAAGAUUCAGACUUGCAGGUAAUAUUAAGAAACAACAUAUCCUAGCCAAGGUGUGCUGGCGAUAAACAGGUGAAUCCAAGGAGUAGGAACUCACCCAUUAUAAACCAAAAACAAACAAUGUUGUUAUUAUUGCCUUUACUCUAUAUUACUGGG
This 5718-nucleotide long non-coding RNA is filed under the name Triticum aestivum (bread wheat). RNAcentral describes it as "long non-coding RNA (TAES_LNC024744)". Lineage: Eukaryota; Viridiplantae; Streptophyta; Magnoliopsida; Poales; Poaceae. The record is from RNAcentral.